Molecule: ribosomal RNA, 253 nt
Filed under: uncultured bacterium
Lineage: Bacteria
Description: partial 16S ribosomal RNA
Rfam family: Bacterial small subunit ribosomal RNA
Source: RNAcentral
UACGUAGGGAGCAAGCGUUGUCCGGAAUCAUUGGGCGUAAAGCGCGCGUAGGUGGCUUCGUAAGUCCGUUGUGAAAGUCAAAGGCUCAACCUUUGAAAGCCGAUGGAUACUGCGGAGCUAGAGUACGGAAGAGGCGAGUGGAAUUCCUGGUGUAGCGGUGGAAUGCGCAGAUAUCAGGAGGAACACCAAUGGCGAAGGCAGCUCGCUGGGACGGUACUGACGCUGAGGCGCGAAAGCGUGGGGAGCAAACAGG